Molecule: ribosomal RNA, 253 nt
Filed under: uncultured bacterium
Lineage: Bacteria
Description: partial 16S ribosomal RNA
Rfam family: Bacterial small subunit ribosomal RNA
Source: RNAcentral
UACGAAGGGGGCUAGCGUUGUUCGGAAUUACUGGGCGUAAAGCGUACGUAGGCGGCUUUGUAAGUUAGAGGUGAAAGCCCGGGGCUCAACUCCGGAAUUGCCUUUAAGACUGCAUCGCUUGAAUCAUGGAGAGGUGAGUGGAAUUCCGAGUGUAGAGGUGAAAUUCGUAGAUAUUAGGAAGAACACCGGUGGCGAAGGCGGCCCACUGGUCCGGUACUGACGCUGAGGUGCGAAAGCGUGGGGAGCAAACAGG